This 293-nucleotide ribosomal RNA is filed under the name uncultured bacterium. RNAcentral's name for it is "partial 16S ribosomal RNA". It matches the Rfam family "Archaeal small subunit ribosomal RNA", at positions 455 to 747 of the family's 1478-position model. The record is from RNAcentral.
GUGCCAGCUGCCGCGGUAAUACCGGCAGCUCGAGUGAUGUCCAAUUUUAUUGGGCCUAAAGCGUCCGUAGCUGGCCAGCCAAGUUCGUCGGGAAAUCCACCUGCCCAACAGGUGGGCGUCCGGCGAAAACUGUCUGGCUUGGAACCGGAAGGCUCAGAGGGUACGUCGAGGGUAGGAGUGAAAUCCUGUAAUCCUCGACGGACCACCGAUGGCGAAAGCACUCUGAGAAGACGGAUCCGACAGUGAGGGACGAAAGCCAGGGUCUCCAACCGGAUUAGAUACCCGGGUAGUCC